GACGAACGCUGGCGGCGUGCUUAACACAUGCAAGUCGAACGGAAAGGCCCUGCUUUUGUGGGGUGCUCGAGUGGCGAACGGGUGAGUAACACGUGAGUAACCUGCCCUUGACUUUGGGAUAACUUCAGGAAACUGGGGCUAAUACCGGAUAGGAGCUCCUGCCGCAUGGUGGGGGUUGGAAAGUUUCGGCGGUUGGGGAUGGACUCGCGGCUUAUCAGCUUGUUGGUGGGGUAGUGGCUUACCAAGGCUUUGACGGGUAGCCGGCCUGAGAAGGUGACCGGCCACAUUGGGACUGAGAUACGGCCCAGACUCCUACGGGAGGCAGCAGUGGGGAAUAUUGCACAAUGGGCGGAAGCCUGAUGCAGCAACGCCGCGUGCGGGAUGACGGCCUUCGGGUUGUAAACCGCUUUCGCCUGUGACGAAGCGUGAGUGACGGUAAUGGGUAAAGAAGCACCGGCUAACUACGUG
Molecule: ribosomal RNA, 468 nt
Filed under: uncultured bacterium
Lineage: Bacteria
Description: partial 16S ribosomal RNA
Rfam family: Bacterial small subunit ribosomal RNA
Source: RNAcentral